Long non-coding RNA from Hemiscyllium ocellatum (epaulette shark), 680 nucleotides. RefSeq lists it as uncharacterized. The transcript has 4 exons. Lineage: Eukaryota; Metazoa; Chordata; Chondrichthyes; Orectolobiformes; Hemiscylliidae. The record is from RefSeq and is a predicted model, not a curated record.
GAUCACCCUCGCGCGCGGCGCAGAGUCGCUGUAAUGAAUGCUCGGGAAGUUAUGGAGAGGAAGAAUACGAUCCCAGUGAUUAAUGCCAAAGCCCUGUUGCCUGUGGAGAGGGUGAUGCUUGACUUUAUUGUACAGCUGCAGUUUGUGUGGUGAAGGUGCUCCCACAAUGUGGUUGGGAUGCUACAGGUGGACAUUCAGAUGGUAAUCUCAGUCAUUAUAACACCAAACUCUGAUUGAAUUAGUCAGUUCAUCAGGACUUGGAUAUUCGCAUUGUGUGGUGCUAGAUGGUGAAGAUUUGCAGACUGAAAUCUCAAAAUCAUGUGCAGAUUGUGAUUAUGUUAACCAGCAUUUGAAGAACCAAAGAUAGAGAAUCACUCGGCCAAAAUCCUGCAACACUCUCCCUCCCAGCAUUGUUGGUCUAUCUGCACCAAAUGGACUGUGAAUGGUUCAAGACAGCAGCUCACUCCCAUCUUCUCAAGGGUAACUAGAGAUGGGGAAUAAAUGCUGGCUGAGCCAGUGAUGCCCAUAUCCUGGAAAUGGUUUCUAUCUCUAGUUGCUGAACCCCAGUUGAUGUUACUGCAGGAUGAUGAGGGAUGCUGAGUGCAUCCUCCAGGAGGCAGCACCAUCACAUUACCCCUGCCUACACCCACACAGUAACACCGCCACGUCACUGGAACAAA